GUGGGUAGAUGGCAGGUUGAAUAAAGAGAAGCUAGUGAUGUGGGGUUCUCUCAUAACCCUCAGUCCCCAGGUGGGUAGAUGGCAGGUUGAAUAAAGAGAAGCUAGUGAUGUGGGGGUUCUCUCAUAACCCUCAGUCCCCAGGUGGGUAGAUGGCAGGUUGAAUAAAGAGAAGCUAGUGAUGUGGGGGUUCUCUCAUAACCCUCAGUCCCCAGGUGGGUAGAUGGCAGGUUGAAUAAAGAGAAGCUAGUGAUGUGGGGUUCUCUCAUAACCCUCAGUCCCCAGGUGGGUAGAUGGCAGGUUGAAUAAAGAGAAAACAAUAGGCUAC
Molecule: long non-coding RNA, 325 nt
Filed under: Salmo salar (Atlantic salmon)
Lineage: Eukaryota; Metazoa; Chordata; Actinopteri; Salmoniformes; Salmonidae
Description: lncRNA (ENSSSAG00000086136.1)
Source: RNAcentral